UGUGACUUAGACUGGAGCCUGCAGCUCCACGGCCGACCCUGCAGAGCAGAUCCCCCAGGUCCCCCUAUUCACGGGUCACCUGUUAUAUGACAGGCUCUGUGUUCGGGAGACACAGAGGGAAGAAAGUCAGAUGGAAAAUUUACAGCUCAGAGAAGCCAGCAUCAAUACACUUACUGAGAAUCUGGCACACAGGAACAUGUGCACAUGUGUCUUGAACAUUGCCGUCCCCAUGGUCCAUGAGCAGAAGCACUGUCCCCGGCCCUUGGUGACAGCUCACCUGCUAUGACUCCCUUUUGCAAGUAUGUCUGCAGGAUUUAUAUCUGGAAUUGGGAGCGGUUGAGUCGUGUGAUAUAUGCAUUUAAAAAUUUGACAGUUAUCACCGAGCAAUGCUCCAAAGAGGCUGUACCCGAUUUACACUACCAUCCGUGGUGUGUGAGGUGUUGCCCUCCCUCCAGGAGGACACCAGUGAGGAGACUGGGCCCUGGGGUUGGGCAGCCUGGAAUGAAUCGUCCUUCUGCCCUCUCAUUGCUGCAGGACCUUGGGAAAGUUGUUUAACCAAGCCCUUCCGGCCUCUGCUCAUUUGAAAACAGGGUUAGAAGUCACACCUCUAUGGGCACUUGA
Long non-coding RNA from Nyctereutes procyonoides (raccoon dog), 621 nucleotides. RefSeq lists it as uncharacterized. NCBI's taxonomy places the organism in Eukaryota, Metazoa, Chordata, Mammalia, Carnivora, Canidae. The record is from RefSeq and is a predicted model, not a curated record. The transcript has 3 exons.